Molecule: long non-coding RNA, 9765 nt
Filed under: Podarcis lilfordi (Lilford's wall lizard)
Lineage: Eukaryota; Metazoa; Chordata; Lepidosauria; Squamata; Lacertidae
Source: RNAcentral
GAACUUUGUUGUUGUGUGUUAAGUUUCAUAGGUUAUAGUGUUUAUUCUUUUGCUAUGAUAAUAAAAAAUAAAAGCUGCCUUGUAACCUUUUGGAGAAGGUAGGGUAAAAUUAACCUGUGUAGGAAAAUUUAACUCUCCAUAUAAUUAACUCAAGGCUUUUGUGUGACAGUAUUCACUGUCUAGCACCAUGGGGGUGCGGGUUCUGCCCAUGACAGCCAUUUUGAUAUAUUGAUAGCAUUUUUAUCAAUAUAUGAGUUCCAGCACCUCAUAUUUUAUAUAUAAAAAGCACUAAAUUAACUGCUAUCAGGCUUCCCCUUUAGUCAUAUUUUUCAUAAAUGAGACUAAAUCCUCAUUUUUUAAGUCCAUAGCCUCCAACAUUCCUUAGGUGAAAAUACAUUUCUUACUCCCCUGACAAGAGACUCUCCUUGACCCGCCCCCACACAUUUCCUAUCAGAAGAAGGGCGAGUGCCGCCACCAGGCCACAACACACAUGCCUUCCCCCGUUGGAAAAAGAAAAUUAGGUCGUUUUGGUAGAUAUGAUAUAAAGGAUUAAGCAAAAAUGAGUUGAUGAAAUUGAUGAAACAGAGGAUGUUUAAUUAUAUUAUUUUAAAUUAAAAUACGUAAAUGAAAAUAAGGUUAGAAGGAUUUGCUGGAAAUAUGAUCUGAACUAGAAUACAAAAUUGGGAGGUGAGAGGAGGUCAUGGAAAUAAGUAAAGGGAAAAGGUUAUGUAAAGGUUUAAUCUGUUUUUGUUCUAUUCCAACUCAAUGCAUUUUUAUAUUUUUUGUUUCGUCUUCUUUUUUAUUCUAUUUUAUUGUUCACUUUUUUCUUGUUAUUUCUCGCUUUGUUAUGGUUAAAUUUUUCUUUGUAUUUUGUAUUGUUUUUCUUUCUCUUUUUUGUAAAUUUAAACUUGGAAUAAAUAUCAUUUUUUAAAAAACAACAACAACAACACACAUGCCUUCCCCCAUCCUGACCACCCCUUAAUCCCGAUUUUAUUUUAUUCUUUGGUAGAUUUACAAAAAGAAAACACGCACACCAAUAAAUACAUUUUAGAAAGGGGGAAGAUUAAGCGCAGGUAAACAAAGCAUUCUUUAAAAUAAAAUUAAAAGACUCCUUGCGCUGCGCUGCGCUGCGCUGUUUCCACCCAGGGCAGCCCUGCCUUCUGCAUGGCCCUCUGAGAUGGCGCAUCACACAGGAUUGGGUUUUGGCCUGGCCUGCCUUUAGCAGAUGCUGCGCUGGGGUGCAAAUAUCCGCCCAGUGCCCCCAAAUUACCACGGAUAGUGUUGGGGUGGCUGUCGCUGCGCACUGCCAGCCAUCCGGGGGGCGCAACUCUCCCCCAUGCUGCUGCAGGAGAGCGAUCUCCGCAGAGGCUUGGGAAUGAACUUGCGCCCCUCCUAAGCCUCCUCGGGAGGAGAGCGAUCCCCGCAGAGGCUUGGGAGGGAAGCUACACGCCCACCAGCCUUAUGGUUGGCUGGGCGCAGCUGGUGGGCGUGCAGGGAAAGGGGAGGCUGCUGGCAAAGCUGCACAGCUCCCCCACUUGCUGGGGUGCCCCUGAGAGGCCGGCGCCCUGGUGAGAUGCACCACUAAGCCCUAUGGGAAAGACGGCUCUGGCUUUGGCAGCUGCAACCGCUUCUUCUCCUCCUUUCCCACUCUCCAGCAGCCACUUCGAGGUGCCCAAGGGAGGAGGUUGGCAGCCAUGGAGAGCCAACUGUAUGCUCCCUCGCAGCCGCCAACACCAUCACUUGGAACAAGUGCUGGCUCAUCCUCCUCCCAAGCUUGGUGGCGAGUGAAAUAGGGACCUUCCGGGAUCAAAUCAUAAACCGGGAUGGCUUUCGUAAUUCCGGGACUGUCCCUGCGAAAUUGGGACACUUGGAGGGGAUGUAAGUCUUUCUUCAUUAGAGAACCUCAAUUAAAUUGCCACCAUUUGCUUCUUCAUCUCUACUCCCUAUUCAUUUUGUCCAUGUUAUGCCAUCCUAUAAUCCUGUAUCUUGUGGCCAAAUUGCACCUUACAUUGUUUCUGUUUAGUCGUUCAGUCGUGUCCGACUCUUCGUGACCCCCUGGACCAGAGCACGCCAGGCACUCCUGUCUUCCACUGCCUCCCGCAGUUUGGUCAGACUCAUGUUUGUAGCUUUGAGAACACUGUCCAACCAUCUUGUCCUCUGUCGUCCCCUUCUCCUUGUGCCCUCAAUCUUUCCCAACAUCAGGGUCUUUUCCAGGGAAUCUUCUCUUCUCAUGAGGUGGCCAAAGUAUUGGAGCCUCAGCUUCACGAUCUGUCCUUCCAGUGAGCACUCAGGGCUGAAUUCCUUAAGAAUGGAUAGGUUUGAUCUUCUUGCAGCCCAUGGGACUCUCAAGAGUCUCCUCCAGCACCAUAAUUCAAAAGCAUCAAUUCUUUGGCGAUCAGCUUUCUUGAUGGUCCAGCUCUCACUUCCAUACAUCACUACUGGGAAAACCAUGGCUUUAACUAUACGGACCUUUGUUGGUAAGGUGAUGUCUCUACUUUUUAAGAUGCUGUCUAGGUUUGCCAUCGCCUUUCUCCUAAGGAGCAGGCGUCUUUUAAUUUCGUGACUGCUGUCACCAUCUGCAUUGAUCAUGGAGCCCAAGAAAUAAAAUCUCUCACUGCCUCCAUUUCUUCCCCUUCUAUUUGCCAGGAGGUGAUGGGCCCAGUGGCCAUGAUCUUAGUUUUUUUGAUGUUCAGCUUCAGACCAUAUUUUGCGCUCUUCUCUUUCACCCUCAUUAAAAGGUUCUUUAAUUCCUCCUCACUUUCUGCCAUCAAGGUUGUGUCAUCUGCAUAUCUGAGGUGCACCUUACAUUAGAUAAUGUUUAAUUAGAUAGUGUCUGUUUUAAUUUCAGUUUAUAAAUAGUGGCUGUGGGGAAAUGGGGCUCAUGGGCAUGGGGUCAAAAGGCAGAAAUGAGCGGGUAAACCUUUCUUUCUUUCUUUCUUUCUUUCGGUCACAAAAUAGUCCUGAUGAAAAUGCUUCUGCCCUCAGCUGCUUAAUACCUCAGGAGGGAAUCUGCUGUAAACACUCAUUUUAGUUUCCCUGCUGUACAGUGGUACCUCAGGUUACAAACACUUCAGGUUACAGACUCCGCUAACCCAGAAAUAUUACCUCGGGUUAAGAACUUUACCUCAGGAUCAGAACAGAAAUCAUGUAGUGGUGGCGUGGUGGCAGUGGGAGGCCCCAUUAGCUAAAGUGGUACCUCAGCUUAAGAACGGACCCAGCUUAAGAACGGACCCCUGGAACGAAUUAAGUUCGUAACCAGAGGUACCACUGUAAUGAGUACCAUCUUUGGAAGGGACAUUUUCAUUGGGAACAGUGCACAGGGGAAGGUUGAGCCAGCUUUAUAGACAACACACACACACCCCGCCCCCAAAAAACUGAUUUGCUCCACCUAGAAUUUUUAUGCUGGCUAUUUGGCCAUAAUAAUAAAACAUUCACCUAGAAUUUUAGCAGAGUUUGGCAUGGGCGAAUCUAUAAACAUACUGUAGCUAUUUGAAAAUGAAAGACUAUGAAAGAACAUACAGGACUUUCCUUUAUUUUUCCUCUUUAAAUGCUGGCAGUAAUAAUUAAAUUUUAAUAGUAUCCAUACUUACUAGAAGCCUUCAGAUUGCUCAGAAUAACUGUUAGGAAGAGUAAAACACUAGGAAUUCAACCUGUGUGCCCACCUUGAAUCUGCUGAAGCCUCAUAAGAUAACAGAAGGCAGUGCAAUGAAAGAAUGGGAUGUUUCAGGACAUCUCAAUGACGUUUUUUAUUCAAACAUUAUAUACUCCGCUAUCAGCAAGAAAAGAACUGUGAUUAGACAUACAUAGUGAGUGUGAUGGAUGAAUAAAAUGCCCUAAGCAACAUUCUUCAUUUCUUAAAAGUCCACAUUCAUUCAAAUAUUCUAGAUGCUUUUCAUCAGCUUUCACUAUUUCUCCUUUUCUAAUAAGCCUCAUGCAUUUAGAAAGUAGUGUAUUUAGUAUUCUCAGUUUUAUUUUCUAAAUUACAUGCAUUUUUCUUUGGCUCUGUGAAGUGACAGCAGGCAUAAAAAGAAGCCAGUGUUUAUUUUAGCUUUUCCUGACCUACUUUGGCUAAUUGUCAGCCACAAGGACAUCGCCAACAAAAGUAUGACAUACAUUCGUUGUAAUACAUGAACACAAUCUUAUUCAUGCAGUAUAUUUGAUAUAAAGUUGCUGCAGGGAAGUCUAAAAGGUGGCUGUGAAUUGAAAUGCUAAAAUUAUGUUCACCUUUGAUUUCCAAGUGCCCUGGACUGGCAAAAUGGCAGUACCAGUAAGGGGGGAAACUAUUAUUUGCAACCACUUCAUCCUCCCAACAACAGAAGAGGCUUUCAUUAUUUUGUCAAUUAACUGCUGUUUUGGAAGACAUUUGCAUAAUAUCACUUGAAUAAUUUUGCUGAAUUGCGUUUUAGCAUCACAGAAAAAAAGUUGAAAGCAGAGUUAUUUAGUCUAAUCACUUAACGCUGAGAUUGAAGUGUAGGAAACAUCUAAAGAUGCCUUAUUCUGAGUCAGGCGGUCUGCUAAUCUGUGGAUUUCAGCCAUACCUGGAGGUGUCAGAAACUGAGCCUAGCAUCUUCUGCAUGUGAGAAAUGUACUCCACCACUGUGUUAAGGCCCUUUCCCUGUGUCUAGCCAUUUGCUCUUAUAACAAGUUACAAUGACUGAUAUUUGCCAUAUGUCCAGCACUUUCCAUAGUAAAGUCGCCUGUGUAUGCUUUCUUAAUGGAUCCAGAAAUUCCCAAAGUGCAGCCUUCCUGGGAUUGGUGUGGGGAAAAUGCAUAUCUGGGUGCUUGCCAGCACAAAAACUUAAUAAAAAAUGAUGCUAGAGAAAAAGCUAUACUACAUCUCUUGUCCCUCAAGAUUUCUUAACAUUAAAUUUAUGAACUGCUGUUUUAGUACUGCUGCUUUGUUCUAUCCCCCACCCCAAUAAAGGCAGAAAACCUAUUAUUCCCAUUUUUAUGGAUAAUCUGCAAGAUGCAGGGAUAUCAAUCUUUCCAUGUGGUGCUUACGAAACCUGUAAUGAUACUUCAUCACGUUUCCUUUGUUUCACUACAUGCCCUCUGAUUUUAAAGAAAAUUUGGUAUUGUAAUAUUCUGUAAUCAAUGUUAAAUCAUAGUGAUGACACAAUGUAUAUUUACAUACAGACUAUAUGUGUUAUCCAUAUGAGCACAUCCAUCUACCCACAAAUUUUAUAAAAUAAUGAUUUACAAGCACCUGCCAUUAGUGGGUCCCCUUCUCUCUUGUCUCUCAGGUGCCAUGCCCUGAGAAGACAUCCAGGCUGAUUUUUCACCUGUAAUGCCAAGCAAAAGGGUUGAUUGGUGCCUAUUAACCUUUAGAAGACCAAGAGCAUAAGCUCAAGGAAAUCAUUUUGUGCAGUACUGCAAAGCUUUGAGGAUGCUGUCUUCAUCCUUCAUCUAAAAUGUCUGUAUUUAUUUUCAGGACUGAUAAACUGUCAGUCGAAUUAUGAGGUGCAGGCCUUGAGGUUAAUUUAUAGAAAAAUGCUUCUUUAUGGAUACAAAUAAAUCUACCUUUCCAGGCUCUAGUUAAUGACUUACAGUGUAAUCCUGUGCUUUUUUACUUGGAAGUAAAUCCCACUGAGUUCAGUAGUAUUUAUUAUCUAGCAGGUGCAUAUAAGAUAGAAGAAGGUAGGUAGCUUUUAAAUCUAAAGUGGAAGAUGCACAUGUUUCAAACCUUAGGCUGUUUUCUGUUCAAUUAGGAUGUAGUCAAGAUAAUAUAGUUCACAUUCUUUCACUUUUAAAAAAUCCAGCAACAACUACCUAUUCCGUUUCUUUGCUGAUGUGAACAAGAAGUCAAGGAAUAAUUUGCCAUUUUAUCAUUUUGUCUUGUAAAUUACCUAGAUCGCUUCUUUGGUGGGAAGAAUUAAUAGAAUACGCCUGUAGCCCAGUCCUAAAUAAGGUCUGCUCAGACAUUUUCUUGAUUUCAGUUCCUAGGAAAUGGACUCUAGACAGCAGUCAAAGAAGCCCAUAACUGGAAAAAUCUAUCCUGAAUACUUAGUGUCCAUGUACAACAUAUUUGAUAUAACCUGGAACUGGGAGGAAAGCCUGUGUGGAAAGUGGACAUGUGUGGGCAUGUGUGGCAGAAAGUUCAUGGCUUAUCCAAGAUACCCAUUUUAUCUAUCUUCCCUUCCGCACAAUAAUCCCGUAUUAUCUCCUUCUCUCUUCCUAUAUCUGUGAUAUUGCACAGCAUAUGGAGAAAGGAUUACAUGUCUCCAAGUAGCUAGUACUGAUGAUUGCUAAAUAAAGCCUCCAUGUUCAGAAAUAACGUACCUUCAAUUACCAGAUGCUGGGAAUAAGAUACCUCUCUCAUGCCAUGCCUGUGAGCUUCCCAAAGGCACCUGCCUGGCUUUCAUAAACAGAAUGCUGAACUAAAUGGCCCCUUGCUAUGUUCUGGCAAAGUAAUGUAUGCUUUCUUCAGCAGCAGAGGUCCUGAAUAUCACUUGGCUAACAAUAAGACCGGAUGAAGGGUGAGGGAUGGGAAUCUGUGGAAAGGAAGAUAGGCCGGGCACACAAGUCCAUGAGUAUUUGUUAGGAUACAGGUCACUUGCUUUUCUACCAUUGAAACAACCAACAGAAAAUAAGUGGCACAAUAAUAACAGUAGGGGGAAGAAGAAAGGGCAAACCCACAAACACCCGCAUGUCUCAGUCUAGAGUAGAAUACAUUUAAGAGGAAAAAUGCAUCCUUCCUAGACUAGGCAGCCUGCCAUAGAAAAUAACUGAAACGAGUGGCAUUUAGUUCGUCAUCAAAUUGGCUUAGAAUUCAGGUGCUGGGCUUUGCAAGUGAUGUGAAUAACAGUUGUAUCUCCAGGUAAGAUAACCAUAGAGUAGGGAGAAUGAACAACAGCAAAAAAACAAAAACAAAAAAACCCCAUACCUUUCAUUGUGGCAGUGAAACAGUGGGGAGUUAUAAAAGCAGAGUGCCCUUAUAAAUAGGCUGCCUACAUAGGACUGUGCCCACUGCUAGGUAACGUAGUGAGCGCAGCUUUUGUGUUAUGCAAAAGAUUCCACUAGGAUCUUCCCCAUGAGUAGCUGCCAAACACAACAAAAAAAGUAGAUUACAUAUUUGCCAGAGCUACCCAAAUAUUUAUCUGGAACUUCAAAAUGUUUUUCUGGGGAUCUACUUAUUUCUGUCCAAUGCCUAGUGGAGGAAACAAACAAGACAAUUGUUGUAGUUCCUUACUUUGAAUAUGUGCAGUCGGCCUUCUUUUUAGGGUUGUUGCCUGGAGGAUUUCCCAACGCAAGUGCCGUAUGUGUAGGAGCGUCUGGAAAAUACAAAUUCCUUAAUGCAACACAGCCUCAUAUCUGUGCCUACCAGAUUAUGAUAACCAAAUAAAAAGUAGCUGAGGCUGAGCAACCAUGCGCUAACAAGUUAUUAGAUAAUGUGUUUUUCUUUCCAAUUACUUACCCAUGAAAGGUAUAUAUUGAAAUUAUUAAAAGUGAAUUAAUUCAGCUUUCUAAUUAAGAAGAAAAUUAGGAAGGGGACUGACUUAUUUAUUCUAGAACUAUAGUUAACCAUUUUUAAAAUGCACGCCAGGCUAGAGCCUUCCUAAUUACUUAGCUCCUGUCACUUUUCAUUACCUUGGAAAUCAUGUUGUUCACAUGGUAAAGGUGGAGUACAAUAUGUCCUAAAGGGAAGCAGGGGGUAGGCAGGAAAAUUGCUUUGGGCAGGCUGUUUAUGCAAGUGCUCCAUCUACUCCUUAUCUGUAUUCUGGUCCCAGGAGGGGCUGCAUAUAUGAGUUCAGGGCAAUUGGACUUUUAUUCCUGUAUUCUGCUAGAAAGGCUGUUGGCUUUUAUAUGGAAUAGAUCUGAAGGGUUCCAGUUGUAAGCAGGGAACUCACAAACUACGCCAGCCUCUAUCAAGCACAUUUGGAAACUGUGAAAGGUGAAAUGUGCUGGCUGAACACAGUGAUUUUAGUUUUUUUAUAAAUGAAGGAAGACAAUCAGGGUUGGCAUAAUACACCCCAUUUACAUGUAACACCAUGUAAAACGUGUAAAACCAUUGCAGAGUUACAGUGCUUUCUGUGGCUGUAGAGACCAAUACUGGAGAGACAUGUUUUGUUGCAGCUGGGACAGCUAGAUGCCUUUCCUCUGCCCCAGCUGCAAAAAAAACAUGUCUCUUCAGUAUUGGUCUCUACAGCCACAGAAGGCGCUGUAACUCUGCAGUGGUUUGACUUCACCCCUGAAGGCACACUCUUCCAUUGUCUCCCAAGACAUACAGAUGCCAACAAUCUGGUAAGGUUUCCGGCCACUUCCACAGUUGUUCUCAUGCUGAGGAAUCUUAAUGGCAUUCACCAAUAUGGUUCCUUGCAGCAUGUUUAGCCCACCAUGUAAGUGAUGUUCAGACAGAACACUUCCAGUGCAGGAGCAACCUCAGAGCAAGUAGCAAGGAUGCUGACUGGUUCGUAAUAAGGAAAUCUUGAUAGAUCAUCAUAUCCCAGUCAACAUCUCCUAGAGAGAGGGGUGAGAUAAAGCAUGGAGAGCUUUCUGGUCCUCCUCCCUUCUCCUCUCGUUGCUUGCUUACAAGUAAAGAGACAGCAAUAUUAGGGAGAAUAGCAUGUCCUGUUUGCUCCUGGCAUUGGCAGUAACCCCAGCAUGGGGUUAGGCAUUGGCAGUUGGUCAAUAAUACAGACCCCUCAUGUCAGACCUGUCUUUCCAGGAUUCAAGCAGAGAUGUCUAGAUCACAAGGGUGUAUGUGCCUGUAAAUAAAACCUAUCUUUCAAGAAUGUAAUAUAUUUGUAGAACACAAUUCUUUCUCCAGUAUCCACUAAAAUACAGGCUUGUCCAACUUCAAAGCGACUGCGAUCUACUCCAACUAUAAAAAAAUAGUGAUCUACCCACUGGAUUGACCAAGGUUGUUGAGCUUUUUUUAAUAAGUCAAAAUUGUUGGGCUUUUUGAGGGAGAUCAAAGCUGUUUUAGGGGGGUGGGAGGGGUCCCAAGAUCUACAGUGAUCUACCACAGGCACCCCACGAUCUACCAGUAGAUCACGAUCUACCUGUUGGCCAUCCCUGCACUAAAACAAUGAAAAUGGCUCACCCUCUCUUUAAAAACAAGGCAGCAUUGUUUAAUUUUCCUUCACAAUAUUAUUGGUAAGCUGACACAAACAACCUUGCACUUCUGCUUUUGGGUGAGGACAUCUGACUGGAAUAGGUAGCUGUUUGCAUAAUGUUUAGCACAUCUUCUAUCACACUUCACAGUUUCAAUAUGCUGCAGAGACAUUAAUGUCAUAAGGGCUUUUGCAAGUUAGCAAGUCUGUUUAUAGAUCAGCCUCUGCUAUUGUUGAGUGCCCGCAGCAGGGUGAAAUACUUUUCAUAUACAAUGCCCUCCUGUCCCCAAAAGAUAGCAUAGUCAUUGACACUAGCUGUUGGAAAUAAAGUUUGUGCUCAUUCCCCUGAUGUUUAUUACUGUGUUGCCCAGUUGCUUCUGAGCAAAACUUCUGAGUAAAACAAGAAAUCGGGCAACAAAUUCUUCCUAGAAUCUUAUCCCCCAUAAAAAGUGUUGUAGGCAUCAAAGUUAAGUGGCUUCUAGCUAUAUAGGUAUAAAAGAAUAUGGAAAAAUUGGUUUUUAAUGUGUAAAAAUCUAAUGUUACAAUAUAUUAAGAUUAAGGAUUAGGAUUAAAAAGGAGGGAAAGGAAUUGUUGGAUUAACAAAUUGAAUUGGAAUACAAAAGAGGGAGGUAUGAGGAGGUCCAGGAAACAAGUAAAUGUAUUUUUUUAAAAAAAUGAUAUUUAUUAAGGUUUCCAAUAAAAAGAACACAUC